AGGAUGAACGCUGGCGGCGUGCUUAACACAUGCAAGUCGAACGAUGAAGGCUGGAGCUUGCUCUGGCUGGAUUAGUGGCGAACGGGUGAGUAACACGUGAGUAACCUGCCCCAGACUCUGGGAUAAGCGCUGGAAACGGCGUCUAAUACCGGAUACGAGCUUCCACCGCAUGGUGAGGAGCUGGAAAGAAUUUCGGUCUGGGAUGGACUCGCGGCCUAUCAGCUUGUUGGUGAGGUAAUGGCUCACCAAGGCGACGACGGGUAGCCGGCCUGAGAGGGUGACCGGCCACACGUGGGACUGAGACACGGCCCAGACUCCGUACGGGAGCGGCAGGUGGGGAAUAGUUGCAACAAGU
This 355-nucleotide ribosomal RNA is filed under the name uncultured soil bacterium. Its description in RNAcentral is "bacterial SSU rRNA". It matches the Rfam family "Bacterial small subunit ribosomal RNA", at positions 26 to 376 of the family's 1533-position model. The record is from RNAcentral.